This is a long non-coding RNA of Oreochromis aureus, 1725 nucleotides long. RefSeq lists it as uncharacterized. NCBI's taxonomy places the organism in Eukaryota, Metazoa, Chordata, Actinopteri, Cichliformes, Cichlidae. The transcript has 3 exons. The record is from RefSeq and is a predicted model, not a curated record.
UCCAUUGGGGUCUUGGCCGUCUCCGUUCCCAGGGUUUUCCCUUUCUUUUCAUCCCCUCUGUCAUCUGAGGAUCUCCAGAUGUGUUUGGACUCAAACUUCCUUGACUUUUUACCUUGACGAAGAGCCAUAUUCAAACUGUGAGGGGAAACAAAAAGGCUAACACAGUGUUUGUGUCUCCUUUCUCUGUUCUUAUCCGGGACCUCUAACCUCGCCUCAGUGUUUUGUUAUUGUAUUAUUGCUUUCCUAGACAGCAUUCGGCAGGAGACGACAGAAAAAAAAGCCAAUCCAAACACCCGAAGUUGCAACUGGAAAACAUUUGUGCACUCCUGCCUUUUUUCCUUCUUCACCUUACUCAUCACUCCCUCAAGCUCCUUCUCCUCCCCUACAAUGCCCACAUUCUUCUUCUGCGAAGCACACGCACGCUCGCGAUGGCACACUGAUUGCUUUCUUCGUCUCUCUCGUGGGCUUUACAGAAAUUUGGCACCACUUUUUUCUCCCCCAUCGACACCACAAAACAACCUGAGGAACUGCUGCACUGUGUCGAGAUCAACGGCAGAUUUUUUGGCAAGAAGAAAAAAGAGAAAAAUGAUCUAACCAAACAAAUGCUACUGUGAAACUACUGAUGCAGCAAGUCAACCACUGCUGUUUAAAAGAGCAAACAGGAGGAAGCCAGAGCACCCACUGUGAACCCAGCCAGCGAGUCGAGGCAUCAGACUGCACGACAGUGUCUCCCCUUCUGUGCUCCAUGUUUCUUCCAGAGGAGUCAGCAUUAUGCCGAUUGACUCCACUAGAAGCAUGUACAGGCUUUACAGAAAGAAAGUAAGAGCAAGCACACAUGCACUUCCCCUUUGGGGUGCUCACCAUGCACCCUGUAGAGUCAUGCCUGAGAGGUCCGUCAGCUCUCUUGUGUUUGCUGUGACUUUGCUGCUCAAGUUCAAUGCAUGUUCACUGACGGUUCACUGCAGGAUGAAAACGACCUUCGGGCCACCGUGAAAUGCUCUGGCAGCUUGCAGAACGUCACACAUUUAUUCUCUGAAAAGCAGAAAUGCAUCUUCAAAGAAUGAUUUAAUUUCACUGCAAUUUAGAAAUGCAGUUGGUGAGAGAAAGUGUGAAUAUGUGUUUAUGUGUUACUGUUUAGAUCUCCUCUAGUAAGCGGAACAGCUCACAAAGAUGCAGGAGAGAUGUGUGCAGUCUGUGUCUGUAUAGCUAUUUAAUAUGACUGUAUGCAUUCAGACUCAUGCUGUGUCAAAACUGAUGUAAAAGCUAGGAAGUGGCAAUAAAAACUAAACUAGGUGUAAAACCUUUGUAAUUAAAAUUUUAAAAACUAGAAAAGAUAAUAGGUGCAUUUCCCUUAAUGUCUUUUAUAAAUGUAUUCGAUGAUAUGCAUGCAUAUUCAAAUAGAACUAACAGUGAAAUAACAGUGAAAUAAAUAAAAUAAAAAACACUUCCAGGGGGAAGCUUGCUCUCAAAACUAAAUUAGGAGAAAAGUGAAAUGAACUUAAAGAAAAAUGCAUUAGUCUUCAGUGCGUGUGUUUCUGUGUGUGUCUUUUUUAUGUGCUGCAGAGCUAAUGGCAACCCAACGAAAGACACAUCUCUCUUCUGUAUUGAAAAUGUCAAACAUGCAUCAUCAAAGAAUUUCUUAAUCCUUUUGCAAGUGAGAAACUGAGCGUAUCAGACACCAGACAUACAGUUAUAUAAAAUGUGCUUCUCCAUUUCUGUAAGAGA